AUUGGUGCUGAAUUUUGAAUUGGUGUUGCAAAGAAUGUUUGUUAAUACUAUUUUGUGUUGUUUAUGCUUUUGCAUGCCAAGUGUUCGACAAUAUGCCAAGUGUUUUAAAUAUGUUUUAAAAGUCCCAAGAUACAACUUCUGCCACUUUUUGUUAGUAUCUCUCUUGACUUUAUAACUGUUCAGUUGGUUAUUAGGGAUUGUUAUUAGGCCACGUUGAUGGCCCUUAGUCUACCAUUUUACAUAUUACAGGACAUGUGGAAACACUUUCGCAAGCUGCUGUGUAAUAUAUUUCUAAUUGGCACAUUGAUUGAAUUGAAUUCUUAUAAACACUAUCUCAAACUUUACAUUUUUUUGGUGCUACUGUCAGUAUUCAGUAAUUUGUUUGAGCUUUAUUAUAGAGUAAAUAGAUGUAUAAUCCAAUCCGCAGGAGCCAGAUGCCACCCUUAGGAACAGAGGAUUAGGCCGCCUUGCUUCUUGCUUUGUGAACUCCUUGGCAACAUUGAAUUACCAUGCAUGGGGUUUUGGUCUAAGAUACAAGUAUGGUUUGUUCAAACGACUUAUAAGGAAGGAUGGUCAAGAGGAAGUUGCUGAAAGCUGGCUCGAAGUAUUUACAUAUAUGCAUCAAUUUGCAGAUCGUGGGCACUAUUCUGUGGAGACUGUUACAGUUCUGGUGGCCUUGAAAGUUCGCUACAGGGAUAGAAUUACACUUACCUGGGGAAAUCAUGAGAGCCGUCAAAUUACUCAAGUGCUUUUCUCUUCAAUGACUAUUGGGAGGAUAUAGGGACAAUCAGAUCACUCUUUGAGGCAAAUUUUUUCCUCACCGAAUAUGAUUUAAGAUCAGUCACAUUAUGUUUGUAAAUUCAGCCAUCCAGAUUUUGCUUUUAUAAAGCAGAAAAACCAAUGUAUACAUCAAGGAGAAACUUACCGCCAUCGAAUAUUGACAAUAGCAAGAUUGUUUACUCAAUAGUAUCGCAUAGAUGAAUUCCGUGGAAGGACAGAGACAAAAUAGAAUCCUAGGAUUGGACUUAUUUUGAUUUGAAGCAAACAUUUUUUUGAAUAUCAUUAUGCAAUUCUUAGCAAGAGAUUUAUUAUGUUGAUAUUUUUAUCAAGAUAUUAUUUUGUUUUCCAGUUAAUUUUGUUAUUUUUGCCA
This is a non-coding RNA of Arachis ipaensis, 1150 nucleotides long. The record is from RefSeq and is a predicted model, not a curated record. Lineage: Eukaryota; Viridiplantae; Streptophyta; Magnoliopsida; Fabales; Fabaceae.